Molecule: ribosomal RNA, 1688 nt
Filed under: Salmonella enterica
Lineage: Bacteria; Pseudomonadati; Pseudomonadota; Gammaproteobacteria; Enterobacterales; Enterobacteriaceae
Also listed under: 9 other names
Description: bacterial LSU rRNA
Rfam family: Bacterial large subunit ribosomal RNA
Source: RNAcentral
UGCUGGAGGUAUCAGAAGUGCGAAUGCUGACAUAAGUAACGAUAAAGCGGGUGAAAAGCCCGCUCGCCGGAAGACCAAGGGUUCCUGUCCAACGUUAAUCGGGGCAGGGUGAGUCGACCCCUAAGGCGAGGCCGAAAGGCGUAGUCGAUGGGAAACGGGUUAAUAUUCCCGUACUUGGUGUUACUGCGAAGGGGGGACGGAGAAGGCUAUGUUGGCCGGGCGACGGUUGUCCCGGUUUAAGCGUGUAGGUGUGUGUUCCAGGUAAAUCCGGUUCACUUUAACACUGAGGCGUGACGACGAGGCACUACGGUGCUGAAGCAACAAAUGCCCUGCUUCCAGGAAAAGCCUCUAAGCAUCAGGUAACACGAAAUCGUACCCCAAACCGACACAGGUGGUCAGGUAGAGAAUACCAAGGCGCUUGAGAGAACUCGGGUGAAGGAACUAGGCAAAAUGGUGCCGUAACUUCGGGAGAAGGCACGCUGACACGUAGGUGAAGUGAUUUACUCAUGGAGCUGAAGUCAGUCGAAGAUACCAGCUGGCUGCAACUGUUUAUUAAAAACACAGCACUGUGCAAACACGAAAGUGGACGUAUACGGUGUGACGCCUGCCCGGUGCCGGAAGGUUAAUUGAUGGGGUCAGCGCAAGCGAAGCUCCUGAUCGAAGCCCCGGUAAACGGCGGCCGUAACUAUAACGGUCCUAAGGUAGCGAAAUUCCUUGUCGGGUAAGUUCCGACCUGCACGAAUGGCGUAAUGAUGGCCAGGCUGUCUCCACCCGAGACUCAGUGAAAUUGAACUCGCUGUGAAGAUGCAGUGUACCCGCGGCAAGACGGAAAGACCCCGUGAACCUUUACUAUAGCUUGACACUGAACAUUGAGCCUUGAUGUGUAGGAUAGGUGGGAGGCUUUGAAGUGUGGACGCCAGUCUGCAUGGAGCCGACCUUGAAAUACCACCCUUUAAUGUUUGAUGUUCUAACGUGGACCCGUAAUCCGGGUUGCGGACAGUGUCUGGUGGGUAGUUUGACUGGGGCGGUCUCCUCCUAAAGAGUAACGGAGGAGCACGAAGGUUGGCUAAUCCUGGUCGGACAUCAGGAGGUUAGUGCAAUGGCAUAAGCCAGCUUGACUGCGAGCGUGACGGCGCGAGCAGGUGCGAAAGCAGGUCAUAGUGAUCCGGUGGUUCUGAAUGGAAGGGCCAUCGCUCAACGGAUAAAAGGUACUCCGGGGAUAACAGGCUGAUACCGCCCAAGAGUUCAUAUCGACGGCGGUGUUUGGCACCUCGAUGUCGGCUCAUCACAUCCUGGGGCUGAAGUAGGUCCCAAGGGUAUGGCUGUUCGCCAUUUAAAGUGGUACGCGAGCUGGGUUUAGAACGUCGUGAGACAGUUCGGUCCCUAUCUGCCGUGGGCGCUGGAGAACUGAGGGGGGCUGCUCCUAGUACGAGAGGACCGGAGUGGACGCAUCACUGGUGUUCGGGUUGUCAUGCCAAUGGCACUGCCCGGUAGCUAAAUGCGGAAGAGAUAAGUGCUGAAAGCAUCUAAGCACGAAACUUGCCCCGAGAUGAGUUCUCCCUGAGACUUAGAGUCUCCUGAAGGAACGUUGAAGACGACGACGUUGAUAGGCCGGGUGUGUAAGCGCAGCGAUGCGUUGAGCUAACCGGUACUAAUGAACCGUGAGGCUUAACCUUACAACGCCGAAG